This 468-nucleotide ribosomal RNA is filed under the name uncultured bacterium. RNAcentral's name for it is "partial 16S ribosomal RNA". It matches the Rfam family "Bacterial small subunit ribosomal RNA", at positions 28 to 507 of the family's 1533-position model. The record is from RNAcentral.
GACGAACGCUGGCGGCGUGCUUAACACAUGCAAGUCGAACGGAAAGGCCCUGCUUUUGUGGGGUGCUCGAGUGGCGAACGGGUGAGUAACACGUGAGUAACCUGCCCUGGACUUUGGGAUAACUUCAGGAAACUGGGGCUAAUACCGGAUAGGAGCGCCUGCUGCAUGGUGGGGGUUGGAAAGUUUCGGCGGUUGGGGAUGGACUCGCGGCUUAUCAGCUUGUUGGUGGGGGAGUGGCUUACCAAGGCUUUGACGGGUAGCCGGCCUGAGAGGGUGAACGGCCACAAUGGGACUGAGAGACGGCCCAGACUCCUACGGGAGGCAGCAGUGGGGAAUAUUGCACAAUGGGCGGAAGCCUGAUGCAGCGACGCCGCGUGCGGGAUGAAGGCCUUCGGGUUGUAAACCGCUUUCGCCUGUGACGAAGCGUGAGUGACGGUAAUGGGUAAAGAAGCACCGGCUAACUACGUG